This 84-nucleotide transfer RNA is filed under the name Betaproteobacteria bacterium. RNAcentral's name for it is "tRNA-Leu". It matches the Rfam family "tRNA". From Rfam's summary of the family: Transfer RNA (tRNA) molecules are approximately 80 nucleotides in length. Their secondary structure includes four short double-helical elements and three loops (D, anti-codon, and T loops). RNAcentral also lists the same sequence under 2 other names. The record is from RNAcentral. Lineage: Bacteria; Pseudomonadati; Pseudomonadota; Betaproteobacteria.
GCCCAGAUGGCGAAACUGGUAGACGCGCUAGGUUCAGGUCCUAGUGGUGGAAACACCAUGGAGGUUCGAGUCCUCUUCUGGGCA